This 428-nucleotide ribosomal RNA is filed under the name uncultured Verrucomicrobiota bacterium. Its description in RNAcentral is "bacterial SSU rRNA". It matches the Rfam family "Bacterial small subunit ribosomal RNA", at positions 355 to 776 of the family's 1533-position model. The record is from RNAcentral. Lineage: Bacteria; Pseudomonadati; Verrucomicrobiota.
UCGAGAAUUUUUCACAAUGGGCGAAAGCCUGAUGGAGCGACGCCGCGUGGGGGAUGAAUGGCUUCGGCCCGUAAACCCCUGUCAUUUGCGAGCAAUGCUGACGGUUGAACAAACCGUCAGUUGAUAGUAGCGAAAGAGGAAGGAACGGCUAACUCUGUGCCAGCAGCCGCGGUAAUACAGAGGUUCCAAGCGUUGUUCGGAUUCACUGGGCGUAAAGGGUGCGUAGGCGGUCGGGUAAGUCUGAUGUGAAAUCUCCGGGCCCAACCCGGAAACUGCAUUGGAUACUAUUCGGCUUGAGGUUUGGAGGGGGGACUGGAAUUCUCGGUGUAGCAGUGAAAUGCGUAGAUAUCGAGAGGAACACCCGUGGCGAAGGCAAGUCCCUGGACAACACCUGACGCUGAGGCACGAAAGCUAGGGGAGCAAACAGG